RNAcentral lists this ribosomal RNA (450 nucleotides) under uncultured bacterium. RNAcentral's name for it is "bacterial SSU rRNA". It matches the Rfam family "Bacterial small subunit ribosomal RNA", at positions 335 to 799 of the family's 1533-position model. The record is from RNAcentral.
ACUCCUACGGGAGGCAGCAGUGGGGAAUCUUGCGCAAUGGGCGAAAGCCUGACGCAGCAACGCCGCGUGAGUGAUGAAGGCCUUCGGGUCGUAAAGCUCUGUCAGGAGGGAAGAAUAAAUGACGGUACCUCCAAAGGAAGCACCGGCUAACUCCGUGCCAGCAGCCGCGGUAAUACGGAGGGUGCAAACGUUGCUCGGAAUCAUUGGGCGUAAAGCGCGCGUAGGCGGCCUAGUAAGUCUGAUGUGAAAGCCCAGGGCUCAACCCUGGAAAGCCAUUGGAAACUACUCGGCUUGAGAGCAGGAGGGGCAGGUGGAAUUCCUGGUGUAGGAGUGAAAUCCGUAGAGAUCAGGAGGAACACCGGUGGCGAAGGCGACCUGCUGGACUGUAUCUGACGCUGAGGCGCGAAAGCGUGGGGAGCAAACAGGAUUAGAUACCCUGGUAGGAUAGCG